This 253-nucleotide ribosomal RNA is filed under the name uncultured bacterium. RNAcentral describes it as "partial 16S ribosomal RNA". It matches the Rfam family "Bacterial small subunit ribosomal RNA", at positions 524 to 776 of the family's 1533-position model. The record is from RNAcentral.
UACAGAGGGGGCAAGCGUUGUUCGGAAUUACUGGGCGUAAAGGGCGCGUAGGCGGCCUUCUAAGUCGAACGUGAAAGCCCCGGGCUCAACCCGGGAAGUGCAAUUGAUACUGCUUGGCUUGAGUGUGGAAGAGGGCAGUAGAAUUCCUGGUGUAGUGGUGAAAUACGUAGAUAUCAGGAGGAAUACCGGUGGCGGAGGCGGCUGCCUGGUCCUACACUGACGCUGAGAUACGAAAGCGUGGGGAGCAAACAGG